Molecule: long non-coding RNA, 2724 nt
Filed under: Olea europaea subsp. europaea
Lineage: Eukaryota; Viridiplantae; Streptophyta; Magnoliopsida; Lamiales; Oleaceae
Source: RNAcentral
AUUAUUAUAUUGUGAAUAUUGGCUAGUCUAAUUUCGAUGAAAACUGUGCACUUCAAAAUCAAGUUAAUUAGUGUCGUAUUCCAUCGUAAUUAUCGAUAGAAUGGGAGUGUUUUGAUUUUUGCAUAUUUAUUUAUUUAUUUAUUUUAAAUUUUUUGAGUUGGCACUAUGAUAUUUUGUUUGAUUUGUAUGGAUUGUGAUGUAAUGAGAAGACUGGUAAGAAUUGAGCUGCAAAAAAUCGUUGUCUCAUCUGCAUGUGAUAAAAAAUUUUAAGGGGAAAUUACACUGGAUGUCAUUUUUUGGAUUUGCAUUUACAAAAAUGUCACUUUUUAAUAGUUUUGACCAAACUAUCACUUUAUGACUUUUAUGGCCCUCAAAAAAAAUUAAAAUACCUUAGAUGUCCUUAAUUAAAAUUGAUUUGACUAGAUGAAAGAAUAGUACAAAAAGUUAAUUUGUAUCACAUCAAAAGCUCCCAUUUCACUACUUACAAGAAAAGAAAAGAAAAAAAAAAACUAAAAAAUAUGAAAACUAAAAAGGUAAAAAUUUCAUUCAUAUAGCAACUAAAGUCAUAAACCUAAACGACUCUCAGUUUCCUCUCCUGCUCAAGGUCGUCUGUGAUUGCCAAAAUAUCCAUUUUUGUCCAGGUUUGUUGGUCUAAAAAGUUCAUACAGUUUACUCUGGCAGUCAUGCUGAAUCCAUAAACGUAUGUACAUUUUAUUGAAAUUAUAAGGAAUCUACUUAAACUUAGGAGAAUUGUUGAAGAUCAAUAUCUACUUUUUGGUAUGCUUCUUUAUAUUUUAUUAUUAUUAUUAUUAUUUUGACUUGAUUUGGAUAUUUUCGCGUUUCCUUAAGGAAAAAAAUGUUGUGAUUCGAAAAGAGAUUAUUUUGAUUCAUGGAAUUUUUCCUGUUGAUGGUAGGAAGAUAGAAAUGUUGGGAUUAUCUUUACUUUCUUAUAACUGAUAUCAUGAAAUCUAGCGAAGUAUCCUUAUGAACUCACAAAUUUUGGUUUGCAAUGAGAUGGCUGUAAUGUAAAUGAACUUCUUGCAAUUCUUAAUCAACAAACAAUAGUCAAACCCCUAUUAGUUAAUGGUAGAAGAUUAAGUAUGAGUAAGAAUAAAUGUCUCUUCACUAUACAUAGUAUUUUAAUAUAACUAUUAAAAAUGUGAAUAUUACAAGUUUACAAUUGGGCUUUUGUUUAUUUUCAAUUUUCCUCUUUUUUCCCUGCCCCCGAAACGAAGAAGGAAAUUAAAUAUGUCAGCUGAAAAACCAGAGAGGAAACACCAUAAUUCUUGAUAGACACUUGAUAGCAGACUUGUGGAUUUAAUGUUUCGUUCCUGACUUUUUAUCUAUUAACAAGUUCAUUUGUCGAAAAUUACUGAGGCUAACUGUCGGGAACGACAGUUCGGUCCUCAGCUCAAUGUGUUUCGCAUUAAUUUUGAUUUUACAUAAGUAAAUUCGUAAAUGGUGACUUGAAGUAAUAUGGGUGAUACUCAUUGUAUGCAUUUGGUGGAAAUCUUGAUUGGCACUUGACAUAUCUUUCGUUUCAAUGUUUAUGUUACGUGUGCCAUAACCUUGCUUUCACUUGCAAUCCACUUAUUGUGUGUGGUACUUGUUGUAUUUGGGUGGAACUCUUGAUAGACACUUCAUAGCAUACUUGUGGUUUUUGGUCUAUAUGGGGCUAGAAAUAUUAUAUUAUGGUCUGACGCAUUUAUUUCUUUUUUUGUCUUUGCGGACAUGGAUUUCGAGCAUCUUAUUCCGAAGACAGUGACGACAAGGAAGCUUGUGUUGGUUCGGGGGACAGUAAUGACGAGGAAGUUCCCUGAGCUGGUAUGGGAAACGUUGAGCAAGACUCAAUUGCUUCCGCUAACAACAUGGUGGAGGGGGACGUAAGUUUCUUGUGGGAAAAUUUUGAUCUAAUUAAUUACGAUUAGUGGUACAAAUUUCAGUUAAAUGUUUAGGGCCCUCUGCAAUAUUUUGUAAGCGGUGCGAGUGAAAUGCCAUUGGAGGCCACCACAGUCGUGCCCGGGAAUACGCCACCUAUCUCAAAGAUGAUGUGAUUUGCACGCCUACGACGUCCUGCACCAUCUACUAGGACUCCGUACAUGAGGGAGAUUGCAAAGAAAGGGAAAAAAACAAGUGAGUAGUUCUUUUUUGUUUUGGAAACUUUGGCAGUACAAUUGCAUUCGAAAACUUAAAUGCCUUGAAAUUUGGAAUCUGAUGUAUAAUUGCACUUAUUGAGCUCGUACUAGAUGCAAUAAAACUCUACUCCGAUACAGUUUAUAAUGGAAAUGGAUUGAAUCACAAACUCUACACACUUUUUUGAAAUUCUAUCAAACGUUUUGUUAUUUUGUGAGGUGAUCAAUAGAGAUAGCAUGGACCUAAACAGUAUUACAUUUAUUCACCUUGCUUUCUACGUGCUUUGUCUCAGAAUACUCAUUUUAUUGAUGCAUCACGGCCUAUGUACAGAGUCGUACUCAUGACCUGAAAAAGCAUCAAAGUAUUGGUCGACAUGUUCUUGUUGUAAUGGGAGGUGGAACCAAUCGAUGUCCAUGUCAAAGAAAGAGUGACGCUGACAAUGUUUUACUUUGGGCGACUACGGAGAAUGCACAGAGGAACAUUUUGUUUUACAUUAUUGUAUGUUUAUUUUUUGGGAAAUGUUGGUUAUAUUCAAGUGGUAUUCACUGUCAAAGAAACUGUGUGAAUUUAGUAUGAAAAAUGUUGGUACGG